CUACGGGGGGCUCCAGUGAGGAAUAUUGCACAAUGGGGGGAACCCUGAUGCAGCAACGCCGCGUGGAGGAUGACGCAUUUCGGUGUGUAAACCCCUUUUAUAUGUCAAGAAAAUGACGGUAGCAUAUGAAUAAGCACCGGCUAACUCCGUGCCAGCAGCCGCGGUAAUACGGAGGGUGCAAGCGUUACUCGGAAUCACUGGGCGUAAAGGACGCGUAGGCGGGUUGGAAAGUCAGGUGUGAAAUCCUACAGCUUAACUGUAGAACUGCACUUGAAACUUCUAAUCUAGAGUAUGGGAGGGGGAGAUGGAAUUAGUGGUGUAGGGGUAAAAUCCGUAGAUAUCACUAGGAAUACCUAAAGCGAAGGCGAUCUCCUGGAACAUUACUGACGCUAAGGCGUGAAAGCGUGGGGAGCAAACAGAAUUAGAUACCCUUGUAGUC
RNAcentral lists this ribosomal RNA (439 nucleotides) under uncultured bacterium. RNAcentral describes it as "partial 16S ribosomal RNA". It matches the Rfam family "Bacterial small subunit ribosomal RNA", at positions 339 to 795 of the family's 1533-position model. The record is from RNAcentral.